This 695-nucleotide ribosomal RNA is filed under the name uncultured Pseudomonadota bacterium. Its description in RNAcentral is "bacterial SSU rRNA". It matches the Rfam family "Bacterial small subunit ribosomal RNA", at positions 64 to 754 of the family's 1533-position model. The record is from RNAcentral. Lineage: Bacteria; Pseudomonadati; Pseudomonadota.
UAACAGGAAACAGCUUGCUGUUUCGCUGACGAGUGGCGGACGGGUGAGUAAUGUCUGGGAAACUGCCUGAUGGAGGGGGAUAACUACUGGAAACGGUAGCUAAUACCGCAUAACGUCGCAAGACCAAAGAGGGGGACCUUCGGGCCUCUUGCCAUCAGAUGUGCCCAGAUGGGAUUAGCUAGUAGGUGGGGUAACGGCUCACCUAGGCGACGAUCCCUAGCUGGUCUGAGAGGAUGACCAGCCACACUGGAACUGAGACACGGUCCAGACUCCUACGGGAGGCAGCAGUGGGGAAUAUUGCACAAUGGGCGCAAGCCUGAUGCAGCCAUGCCGCGUGUAUGAAGAAGGCCUUCGGGUUGUAAAGUACUUUCAGCGGGGAGGAAGGGAGUAAAGUUAAUACCUUUGCUCAUUGACGUUACCCGCAGAAGAAGCACCGGCUAACUCCGUGCCAGCAGCCGCGGUAAUACGGAGGGUGCAAGCGUUAAUCGGAAUUACUGGGCGUAAAGCGCACGCAGGCGGUUUGUUAAGUCAGAUGUGAAAUCCCCGGGCUCAACCUGGGAACUGCAUCUGAUACUGGCAAGCUUGAGUCUCGUAGAGGGGGGUAGAAUUCCAGGUGUAGCGGUGAAAUGCGUAGAGAUCUGGAGGAAUACCGGUGGCGAAGGCGGCCCCCUGGACGAAGACUGACGCUCAGGUGC